CUUCGCGGAACAAGUCUGCAGCAGGUAGACUGGCGGAGAGUAGGGGAGGGCGGGCAAGAUUUGCCCCGCACCUCUCGCCUCUAUAAAGGCAUUGCUGCUAACGAAGACCCGAAGCAACAGGAGGAAGACAUAAAGGCCUUUGCCGAUGCACUGAAAGAAAUUAAUGGUAUGCAGGAGUUCGCCAGCUUCCUCGACGCUGCAGACAGCUCAGACGUCACUGAAACAAAAUUUGGGACACGUUUAAAGGGCUGCCUUCUCGACUACCAACAGUCUGUGGUUCCUCAUGGAUUUGCAGUCUUCAUAUCCAAAGAGCUAGAAGUGCCUCGGCCGCAAAUAUGGGCAAGUGCGGAGCUGUUUACGGGCGCUUUCACUGUUCCACAAUGGAAAAUACCCGACACGUUUGAUGGAGCAUCUGCAGCAUUUCUUAAGAGUAUAUGCAUCACCCCAGCGGAGGCGCAGGACCUAGAAAGGACGUCUAGGAGGCAACGAAACAGCCUAACAUGGCAUCAAGGACGCCUUCACCGCCUUACUGCAUCCAACUUCGGUUUGGUCCUGAACCGGAAGAAGUGGACAAAGAAAGGCUUGAUUAACCUGACGACUCCGAAGGACCUGUCACGCGUUCAGCCCGUCAGGUACGGCAUAGCCAACGAGAAAGACGCCCUCCUGAGGUACAAGGAUACCUUGACAACUGCGGGACAUCCUGUUGAAGUAUUCAACUGUGGCCUUUUUGUCGACCCGUCCAGGCCAUGGCUUGGAGCAUCGCCUGACGCCCUAACCUUUGACCCUUGUGAACCUUUUCCAUGGGGUACAGUAGAGGUGAAAUGCCCA
Long non-coding RNA from Dermacentor albipictus, 828 nucleotides. RefSeq lists it as uncharacterized. The record is from RefSeq and is a predicted model, not a curated record. NCBI's taxonomy places the organism in Eukaryota, Metazoa, Arthropoda, Arachnida, Ixodida, Ixodidae.